RNAcentral lists this ribosomal RNA (380 nucleotides) under uncultured eukaryote. RNAcentral describes it as "partial 18S ribosomal RNA". It matches the Rfam family "Eukaryotic small subunit ribosomal RNA", at positions 592 to 975 of the family's 1831-position model. The record is from RNAcentral.
CAAUAGCGUAUAUUAAAGUUGUUGCAGUUAAAAAGCUCGUAGUUGGAUUUGUGGUGUAUGGUGUGUUCCGGGCACUUGUUGUCUGAGUAACUUGCCAUUGCCAUCCUUGGGUGGAACCUGUGUGGCAUUAGGUUGUCGUGCAGGGGAUGCCCAUCGUUUACUGUGAAAAAAUUAGAGUGUUCAAAGCAGGCUUAUGCCGUUGAAUAUAUUAGCAUGGAAUAAUAAGAUAGGACUUUUUUGCUAUUUUGUUGGUUUGCGCGAGAAGGUAAUGAUUAAUAGGGAUAGUUGGGGGUAUUCGUAUUCCAUUGUCAGAGGUGAAAUUCUUGGAUUUUUGGAAGACGAACUAUUGCGAAAGCAUUUACCAAAGGAUGUUUUCAUUA